GACGAACGCUGGCGGCGCGCCUAACACAUGCAAGUCGAACGAGCGAGAGAGAGCUUGCUUUCUCGAGCGAGUGGCGAACGGGUGAGUAACGCGUGAGGAACCUGCCUCAAAGAGGGGGACAACAGUUGGAAACGACUGCUAAUACCGCAUAAGCCCACAGGUCGGCAUCGACCAGAGGGAAAAGGAGCAAUCCGCUUUGAGAUGGCCUCGCGUCCGAUUAGCUAGUUGGUGAGGUAAUGGCCCACCAAGGCAACGAUCGGUAGCCGGACUGAGAGGUUGAACGGCCACAUUGGGACUGAGACACGGCCCAGACUCCUACGGGAGGCAGCAGUGGGGAAUAUUGCACAAUGGGGGAAACCCUGAUGCAGCGACGCCGCGUGGAGGAAGAAGGUCUUCGGAUUGUAAACUCCUGUUGUUGAGG
RNAcentral lists this ribosomal RNA (421 nucleotides) under uncultured bacterium. Its description in RNAcentral is "bacterial SSU rRNA". It matches the Rfam family "Bacterial small subunit ribosomal RNA", at positions 28 to 444 of the family's 1533-position model. The record is from RNAcentral.